Long non-coding RNA from Nyctereutes procyonoides (raccoon dog), 1588 nucleotides. RefSeq lists it as uncharacterized. The transcript is spliced from 9 exons. Lineage: Eukaryota; Metazoa; Chordata; Mammalia; Carnivora; Canidae. The record is from RefSeq and is a predicted model, not a curated record.
UUGGGUGCACGUUUGCAAACUCGGAAUACUACCUCAUCGCUCUUAAGAAGAUUCCAGAUACUUGUACCUAAGACCCUGGUAUGAGAUGUGACUAAAAUGCAGAUUUCCCGAGCCCGUUAUCAGACUGAAUGGAUUAGAAUCUCCAUAGAGAUAUAGAUUCUGGGGAGUUGUAUGCACCGAGAACAGGUCACGUGAGAGGACACAAUAAGAAGAAGCCAUCCGCAGAUCAAGGAGAGAGGCCUCAGGAGAAACCAUCGCUUGCUGACACCUUGAUCUUGGACUUCCAGCCUUCAGAAAGCAAGCUGACCCAAGAAGCUGCAUUCACAGUCCUGGACCUGUUUUGGAGUUCAGUCACUGGGAGGACUCCAGAGUUCACAUCACGCUUCUUGAAAUGCUUCAUGUACCCAGAGCAACCAGAGAUCUGGGAUGGAUUACAAGGCCUCCUUGAAGAUGUACUUGACUGAAGGAACACAGUGACAGGGAAGAGCAGUUUCAUGGUUUUUUUAUGCCAUGCAGUACUGUAUCUGGUAAACUCAAGUGUACAAAGCCCACAGAAAGUAAGGAAAUUCUGAACUAGAAGAGGAUGAACUGGAAGCAGUGGUCCCACAGGACACUGAGUAUGGUAAGAAGAAGCAGCUCUGAAGUCUGGAAAGGUGUGUUUCCUAGUGCAGUCUUUUCUGAACCUGCUUGAUCAUUGGAACUCCCUCAGAUGUUUCUCCAUCAGAGGGCAGGGAGGCUGGAUGACACUUCCAGAGACUACAGGGUGAAGACUGUCACCAGGCCAGUUUCAACUCUACAUUGGCUGUGAGACCCUUGACCAGGAUGGAUAUAAUUUUACCUUCUUCAUUGAGUCGUGAAGCAUAAGAGCUUUCAUUAAUUGAACAUUGCUUAUUCACCGACUGCUAUUCUGGAUGGAUUGCAUGGAUUAUUUGAGAGGACUAUGAGGAAAUAAGAGCUGAAAAAUGUUGAAUGACUUUCCGGCAAGUGACAAGACGUGGAUUUGAAGUCAGGCUGAUUUGUCAGCCCAUUCUCUUAAUUUCACAUUGAUGAAAAGAGAGGAGGCUAUCUACAGGUUGAGUCCCUGGAACAACACAGAGCUCCAGGUUUAUUCCUUCCUAGGGGAGGAUGGAGCAAGGCCUCGGGAAUGGCAUUCUCACAUUCGCCCCGGGUAGCUAGGAGCUGGACCUCCUCAGUAAUUCUGUUGUGUAUCCCAGUCACUGACGGGGCCUGUGAAAAUGAAAGGUGCCAAAGAGGACCACUGUGUGAUUCGGCAAUCCCACUCUGGGUGUUUAUCCGAAAGAAUGGAAAGCAAGGUCUUGAAGAGAGAUCUGUGCACCCAUAUUCAUGGCAGCAUUAUUCACAGCAGUUGAAAGGUAGAAGCAACCCGACUGUCCACUGACGGAUGAAUGGAUAAACAAAUUGAGAUAUAAAGCCAUGGGACGCCUAGCUGGCUCAGUGGUUGAGCAUCUGCCUUUGGCUCAGGGCGUGAUCCUGGGGUCCUGGGAUCAAGUCCCACCUCAAGCUCCCUGCAGGGAACCUGCUUCUCCUUCUGCCUGUGUCUCUGCCUCUCUCUGUAUGUCUCUCAUGA